AAGUCGUAACAAGGUUUCCGUAGGUGAACCUGCGGAAGGAUCAUUAACACAUCCUUUUCCAUAUCUACCUUGGCGCACCAGAAAAGCGAGCCUGUUUAAGAGAAGGCGUGUCAGGCAAUGGUUAGAUUCUCGAUCGACUCUUGUCUCGGGAUUGGCCUGCCGCGCUAGCCACCCUGCCUGUGUGCGACUGCACUCUUCGGAGAGCAGACCCGAUGGCUCGAGGUGGGAACUUCUACUUUCAGGUCAUACAGCCUCUUUCCAUGACUGGCCCCAUUUUAUUUUUUACCUUUUGCUAUUUGUACUGAUUCGGGCUUUCGAUCAGAUCGAGAUGCAGCCUAGCUCAUUUCUCUGGGACGAGUCCUUGAGUGAGUCGCGUCGACUCAUUUCUAAAACAAACAAAACACAACUCUUAACAGCGGAUAUCUCGGUUCUC
This 433-nucleotide unclassified non-coding RNA is filed under the name fungal sp. RNAcentral's name for it is "partial internal transcribed spacer region". The stretch from base 1 to 46 matches the Rfam family "Eukaryotic small subunit ribosomal RNA", at positions 1786 to 1831 of the family's 1831-position model. The record is from RNAcentral. Lineage: Eukaryota; Fungi.